Molecule: ribosomal RNA, 390 nt
Filed under: Triticum aestivum (bread wheat)
Lineage: Eukaryota; Viridiplantae; Streptophyta; Magnoliopsida; Poales; Poaceae
Description: partial small subunit ribosomal RNA
Source: RNAcentral
AGAGCAAGGUACUACCCCAUAGGAGACCUUUUGAACUGUCAAUUGAAGAAGGGGUCGUCUUAUGUGUGGCAAAGCAUUUGGUCCGGCAUUCAAACUUUUAAGAAGGGCUAUAUUUGGAGAGUAGGCAAUGGAGACAAGAUUAAUAUAUGGGAUGAUUGAUGGAUCCCAAACAGUGCUUCCAAGAAAAUAUUAACAGUAAGGGGGAAUCAAGUACUUACUAAAGUGAAUGAGUUGAUUGACCCAACUACAGGAGAAUGGGAUGAGAUGUUAAUUCGGGAGAACGUUUGGCAUAUCAAUGCAGAGCAUAUAUUACAAAUUCCGUUGUUUCAUGUGGAGACGGAGGACUAUAUUGCAUGGCACCUCACGAAGAGCGGAGUAUAUUCAGUGUGA